RNAcentral lists this transfer RNA (77 nucleotides) under Candidatus Moranbacteria bacterium CG_4_9_14_3_um_filter_36_9. RNAcentral describes it as "tRNA-Arg". It matches the Rfam family "tRNA". Rfam says of the family: Transfer RNA (tRNA) molecules are approximately 80 nucleotides in length. Their secondary structure includes four short double-helical elements and three loops (D, anti-codon, and T loops). RNAcentral also lists the same sequence under 1 other name. The record is from RNAcentral. Lineage: Bacteria; Candidatus Moraniibacteriota.
GUUCUCGUAGCUCAGUUGGAUAGAGCGUCAGCUUGCGGAGCUGAAGGUCACAGGUUCGAACCCUGUCGAGAACACAA